GGGUUGUGAGGUUAAGCGACUAAGCGUACACGGUGGAUGCCCUGGCAGUCAGAGGCGAUGAAGGACGUGCUAAUCUGCGAUAAGCGUCGGUAAGGUGAUAUGAACCGUUAUAACCGGCGAUUUCCGAAUGGGGAAACCCAGUGUGAUUCGUCACACUAUCAUUAACUGAAUCCAUAGGUUAAUGAGGCGAACCGGGGGAACUGAAACAUCUAAGUACCCCGAGGAAAAGAAAUCAACCGAGAUUCCCCCAGUAGCGGCGAGCGAACGGGGAGGAGCCCAGAGCCUGAAUCAGUGUGUGUGUUAGUGGAAGCGUCUGGAAAGGCGCGCGAUACAGGGUGACAGCCCCGUACACAAAAAUGCACAUGCUGUGAGCUCGAUGAGUAGGGCGGGACACGUGGUAUCCUGUCUGAAUAUGGGGGGACCAUCCUCCAAGGCUAAAUACUCCUGACUGACCGAUAGUGAACCAGUACCGUGAGGGAAAGGCGAAAAGAACCCCGGCGAGGGGAGUGAAAAAGAACCUGAAACCGUGUACGUACAAGCAGUGGGAGCACAGAGCAAUCUGUGUGACUGCGUACCUUUUGUAUAAUGGGUCAGCGACUUAUAUUCUGUAGCAAGGUUAACCGAAUAGGGGAGCCGAAGGGAAACCGAGUCUUAACUGGGCGUUAAGUUGCAGGGUAUAGACCCGAAACCCGGUGAUCUAGCCAUGGGCAGGUUGAAGGUUGGGUAACACUAACUGGAGGACCGAACCGACUAAUGUUGAAAAAUUAGCGGAUGACUUGUGGCUGGGGGUGAAAGGCCAAUCAAACCGGGAGAUAGCUGGUUCUCCCCGAAAGCUAUUUAGGUAGCGCCUCGUGAAUUCAUCUCCGGGGGUAGAGCACUGUUUCGGCAAGGGGGUCAUCCCGACUUACCAACCCGAUGCAAACUGCGAAUACCGGAGAAUGUUAUCACGGGAGACACACGGCGGGUGCUAACGUCCGUCGUGAAGAGGGAAACAACCCAGACCGCCAGCUAAGGUCCCAAAGUCAUGGUUAAGUGGGAAACGAUGUGGGAAGGCCCAGACAGCCAGGAUGUUGGCUUAGAAGCAGCCAUCAUUUAAAGAAAGCGUAAUAGCUCACUGGUCGAGUCGGCCUGCGCGGAAGAUGUAACGGGGCUAAACCAUGCACCGAAGCUGCGGCAGCGACGCUUAUGCGUUGUUGGGUAGGGGAGCGUUCUGUAAGCCUGUGAAGGUGUGCUGUGAGGUAUGCUGGAGGUAUCAGAAGUGCGAAUGCUGACAUAAGUAACGAUAAAGCGGGUGAAAAGCCCGCUCGCCGGAAGACCAAGGGUUCCUGUCCAACGUUAAUCGGGGCAGGGUGAGUCGACCCCUAAGGCGAGGCCGAAAGGCGUAGUCGAUGGGAAACAGGUUAAUAUUCCUGUACUUGGUGUUACUGCGAAGGGGGGACGGAGAAGGCUAUGUUGGCCGGGCGACGGUUGUCCCGGUUUAAGCGUGUAGGCUGGUUUUCCAGGCAAAUCCGGAAAAUCAAGGCUGAGGCGUGAUGACGAGGCACUACGGUGCUGAAGCAACAAAUGCCCUGCUUCCAGGAAAAGCCUCUAAGCAUCAGGUAACAUCAAAUCGUACCCCAAACCGACACAGGUGGUCAGGUAGAGAAUACCAAGGCGCUUGAGAGAACUCGGGUGAAGGAACUAGGCAAAAUGGUGCCGUAACUUCGGGAGAAGGCACGCUGAUAUGUAGGUGAAGCGACUUGCUCGUGGAGCUGAAAUCAGUCGAAGAUACCAGCUGGCUGCAACUGUUUAUUAAAAACACAGCACUGUGCAAACACGAAAGUGGACGUAUACGGUGUGACGCCUGCCCGGUGCCGGAAGGUUAAUUGAUGGGGUCAGCGCAAGCGAAGCUCUUGAUCGAAGCCCCGGUAAACGGCGGCCGUAACUAUAACGGUCCUAAGGUAGCGAAAUUCCUUGUCGGGUAAGUUCCGACCUGCACGAAUGGCGUAAUGAUGGCCAGGCUGUCUCCACCCGAGACUCAGUGAAAUUGAACUCGCUGUGAAGAUGCAGUGUACCCGCGGCAAGACGGAAAGACCCCGUGAACCUUUACUAUAGCUUGACACUGAACAUUGAGCCUUGAUGUGUAGGAUAGGUGGGAGGCUUUGAAGUGUGGACGCCAGUCUGCAUGGAGCCGACCUUGAAAUACCACCCUUUAAUGUUUGAUGUUCUAACGUUGACCCGUAAUCCGGGUUGCGGACAGUGUCUGGUGGGUAGUUUGACUGGGGCGGUCUCCUCCUAAAGAGUAACGGAGGAGCACGAAGGUUGGCUAAUCCUGGUCGGACAUCAGGAGGUUAGUGCAAUGGCAUAAGCCAGCUUGACUGCGAGCGUGACGGCGCGAGCAGGUGCGAAAGCAGGUCAUAGUGAUCCGGUGGUUCUGAAUGGAAGGGCCAUCGCUCAACGGAUAAAAGGUACUCCGGGGAUAACAGGCUGAUACCGCCCAAGAGUUCAUAUCGACGGCGGUGUUUGGCACCUCGAUGUCGGCUCAUCACAUCCUGGGGCUGAAGUAGGUCCCAAGGGUAUGGCUGUUCGCCAUUUAAAGUGGUACGCGAGCUGGGUUUAGAACGUCGUGAGACAGUUCGGUCCCUAUCUGCCGUGGGCGCUGGAGAACUGAGGGGGGCUGCUCCUAGUACGAGAGGACCGGAGUGGACGCAUCACUGGUGUUCGGGUUGUCAUGCCAAUGGCACUGCCCGGUAGCUAAAUGCGGAAGAGAUAAGUGCUGAAAGCAUCUAAGCACGAAACUUGCCCCGAGAUGAGUUCUCCCUGACUCCUUGAGAGUCCUGAAGGAACGUUGAAGACGACGACGUUGAUAGGCCGGGUGUGUAAGCGCAGCGAUGCGUUGAGCUAACCGGUACUAAUGAACCGUGAGGCUUAACCUUACAACGCCGAAG
This 2927-nucleotide ribosomal RNA is filed under the name Escherichia coli. Its description in RNAcentral is "bacterial LSU rRNA". It matches the Rfam family "Bacterial large subunit ribosomal RNA". Lineage: Bacteria; Pseudomonadati; Pseudomonadota; Gammaproteobacteria; Enterobacterales; Enterobacteriaceae. The record is from RNAcentral.